RNAcentral lists this ribosomal RNA (253 nucleotides) under uncultured bacterium. RNAcentral's name for it is "partial 16S ribosomal RNA". It matches the Rfam family "Bacterial small subunit ribosomal RNA", at positions 524 to 776 of the family's 1533-position model. The record is from RNAcentral.
UACGUAGGGUGCGAGCGUUGUCCGGAAUUAUUGGGCGUAAAGGGCUCGUAGGCGGUUUGUCGCGUCGGGAGUGAAAUCCACUGGCUUAACUGGUGGCUUGCUUUCGAUACGGGCAGACUGGAGGUAUGCAGGGGAGACUGGAAUUCCUGGUGUAGCGGUGAAAUGCGCAGAUAUCAGGAGGAACACCGAUGGCGAAGGCAGGUCCCUGGGCAUUAACUGACGCUGAGGAGCGAAAGCAUGGGGAGCGAACAGG